RNAcentral lists this transfer RNA (71 nucleotides) under Chryseobacterium jejuense. RNAcentral's name for it is "tRNA-Thr". The record is from RNAcentral. Lineage: Bacteria; Pseudomonadati; Bacteroidota; Flavobacteriia; Flavobacteriales; Weeksellaceae.
ACUCAAUGACAGAUAUAACAGAGCAUCCCGAUUUGUAAUCGGGACGGGCAAAGGUUCGAAUCCUUUCGCGC